GUGGGGAAUAUUGCGCAAUGGGGGCAACCCUGACGCAGCCAUGCCGCGUGAAUGAAGAAGGCCUUCGGGUUGUAAAGUUCUUUCGGUAUUGAGGAAGGUUGUUGUGUUAAUAGCACGACAAAUUGACGUUAAAUACAGAAGAAGCACCGGCUAACUCCGUGCCAGCAGCCGCGGUAAUACGGAGGGUGCGAGCGUUAAUCGGAAUAACUGGGCGUAAAGGGCACGCAGGCGGACUUUUAAGUGAGGUGUGAAAUCCCCGGGCUUAACCUGGGAAUUGCAUUUCAGACUGGGAGUCUAGAGUACUUUAGGGAGGGGUAGAAUUCCACGUGUAGCGGUGAAAUGCGUAGAGAUGUGGAGGAAUACCGAAGGCGAAGGCAGCCCCUUGGGAAUGUACUGACGCUCAUGUGCGAAAGCGUGGGGAGCAAACAGGAUUAGAAACCCUAGUAGUCC
This 450-nucleotide ribosomal RNA is filed under the name uncultured bacterium. RNAcentral describes it as "bacterial SSU rRNA". It matches the Rfam family "Bacterial small subunit ribosomal RNA", at positions 354 to 796 of the family's 1533-position model. The record is from RNAcentral.